UACGGGGGGAGCAAGCGUUGUUCGGAUUUACUGGGCGUAAAGGGCGCGUAGGCGGCGUGACAAGUCACUUGUGAAAUCUCCGGGCUUAACUCGGAGCGGUCAAGUGAUACUGUCGUGCUAGAGUGCGGAAGGGGCUACUGGAAUACUCGGUGUAGCGGUGAAAUGCGUAGAUAUUGGGAGGAACACCAGUGGCGAAGGCGGCUACCUGGACCGGUUCUGACGCUGAGGCGCGAAAGCGUGGGUAGCAAACAGG
RNAcentral lists this ribosomal RNA (253 nucleotides) under uncultured bacterium. RNAcentral describes it as "partial 16S ribosomal RNA". It matches the Rfam family "Bacterial small subunit ribosomal RNA", at positions 524 to 776 of the family's 1533-position model. The record is from RNAcentral.